RNAcentral lists this transfer RNA (72 nucleotides) under Oscarella balibaloi. RNAcentral's name for it is "tRNA-Val". It matches the Rfam family "tRNA". From Rfam's summary of the family: Transfer RNA (tRNA) molecules are approximately 80 nucleotides in length. Lineage: Eukaryota; Metazoa; Porifera; Homoscleromorpha; Homosclerophorida; Oscarellidae. The record is from RNAcentral.
AGGUGUUUAACUCAGUGGUAGAGUAUUGUGCUUACACCACAAUGGUCGGAAGUUCGAUCCUUUCAACACCUA